This 2256-nucleotide ribosomal RNA is filed under the name Agathobacter rectalis. RNAcentral describes it as "[Eubacterium] rectale partial 23S ribosomal RNA". It matches the Rfam family "Bacterial large subunit ribosomal RNA", at positions 1 to 2230 of the family's 2925-position model. Lineage: Bacteria; Bacillati; Bacillota; Clostridia; Lachnospirales; Lachnospiraceae. The record is from RNAcentral.
AGAUUAAGCAAAGAAGAGCGCAGGGUGGAUGCCUUGGCACUAAGAGCCGAAGAAAGACGUGAUAAGCUGCGAAAAGCUGCGGGGAGAUGCAAAUAAUCCUUGAUCCGCAGAUGUCUGAAUGGGGAAACCCGGUACGAAGAACUCGUAUCAUCCAUACGCCAAUCCAUAACGUAUGGAGGGGAACCCGGUGAACUGAAACAUCUAAGUAGCCGGAGGAAGAGAAAGAAACAUCGAUUUUGUUAGUAGCGGCGAGCGAAAGCGAAAGAGGCCAAACCGGAGUGCGUGCACUCCGGGGUUCGGACCGCAUUUAAGAUUCAGUGAUUCUAGCAGAAAGGUUUGGGAAAGCCUGCCGGAGAGGGUGAAAGCCCCGUAAGCGAAAGGAAAACUGNNNNNNNNNNUGGGAAAGCCUGCCGGAGAGGGUGAAAGCCCCGUAAGCGAAAGGAAAACUGACUGAGCGGGAUCCAGAGUACAUCGAGACACGAGAAACCUUGAUGGAAUGAGCGGGGACCACCCCGUAAGCCUAAAUACUACUUAGUGACCGAUAGCGCAUAGUACUGUGAAGGAAAGGUGAAAAGGACCCCGGGAGGGGAGUGAAAGAGAACCUGAAACCCUGUGUUUACAAGCUGUGGAAGUUCUUUAAAUGAACAACCGCGUACUUUUUGUAGAACGGUCCGGCGAGUUGCGGAUACUGGCAAGGUUAAGCACUUAAGGUGCGGAGCCGAAGGGAUACCAAGUCUUAACAGGGCGUUAAGUCAGUAUACGCAGACCCGAAACCGGGUGAUCUAUCCAUGUCCAGGUUGAAGUUGUCGUAAAAGACAAUGGAGGACCGAAGCCACAUCCGUUGAAAAGGGUGGGCAUGAGGUGUGGAUAGGGGAGAAAUUCCAAUCGAACCCGGAGAUAGCUGGUUCUCCUCGAAAUAGCUUUAGGGCUAGCCUCGAUUUAGUCUUAUGGAGGUAGAGCACUGAAUUUCCGCGGGGGCGUCAAAGCUUACCAAAGAAUAUCAAACUCCGAAUGCCAUGUAGAUGAUGAUCGGGAGUCAGACUGCACGAGAUAAGUUGGGCAGUCAAAAGGGAAAGAGCCCAGACCACCGGCUAAGGUCCCAAAGUGCGUGUUAAGUGGAAAAGGAUGUGGGAAUUCGAAGACAACUAGGAUGUUGGCUCAGAAGCAGCCAUACAUUCAAAGAGUGCGUAACAGCUCACUAGUCGAGAGUUCCUGCGCCGAAAAUGUCCGGGGCUGAAACACGACACCGAAGCCGUGGACUCGCAAUGCGAGUGGUAGAGGAGCAUUCUUAAAACCGACGAAGCUGUACCGUAAGGAGCAGUGGAGGGAUAAGAAGAGAGAAUGCCGGAAUGAGUAGCGAGAGAAAGGUGGGAAUCCUUUCGGCCGAAUAUCUAAGGUUUCCAGAGUAAAGCUGAUCUGCUCUGGGUAAGUCGGGGCCUAAGCACAGGUCGCAAGACGUAAGCGAUGGAUAACAGGUUUAGAUUCCUGUACCACGCAUUAUCAGAACUGUAGGGACGCAUGUGGAAAGCACGGGCCGGGAAUGGAAAGACCGGUACAAGCGGGGUAGGUGUACAAUAGGCAAAUCCGUUGUAUAAUCCGAAGACGUGAUGUGGAGCGAAAUAAAGUAGUGAAGCGUGUGAGCCAUGUGCCGAGAAAAGCUGCUAUUGUGUAAUGCGUGCCCGUACCGUAAACCGACACAGGUGGAUGAGGAGAGAAUCCUAAGGCCGACGGAAGAAGCAUUGUUAAGGAAUUCGGCAAAAUGACCCCGUAACUUCGGGAGAAGGGGUGCCUGCGAGAGCAGGCCGCAGAGAAUAGGCUCAAGCAACUGUUUAGCAAAAACACAGGUCUAUGCGAAACCGAAAGGUGAAGUAUAUGGGCUGACGCCUGCCCGGUGCUGGAAGGUUAAGAGGAGAGGUUAGCGUAAGCGAAGCUUUGAAUUUAAGCCCCAGUAAACGGCGGCCGUAACUAUAACGGUCCUAAGGUAGCGAAAUUCCUUGUCGGGUAAGUUCCGACCCGCACGAAAGGCGUAAUGAUUUGAGCACUGUCUCGACAAUGCAUCCGGUGAAAUUGAAGUACCAGUGAAGAUGCUGGUUACCCGCGCCAGGACGGAAAGACCCCAUGGAGCUUUACUCCAGUUUGAUACUGGGAUUCGGUACUGCAUGUACAGGAUAGGUGGGAGACGAAGAAGGAUGGACGCCAGUCUGUCCGGAGUCGCUGUUGGGAUACCACCCCUGUAGUACUGGGUUUCUAACCAGU